CAGUGUAUAUAUUGACAGUUGGGGGGGAAGGCACAAACAGAUGUGCAUAUCUCUCCAUCAGUGUUAUUGAGGGUGGACAACUUAUGCGUUUAUCCCGUAUAAGCAUUAUACAGAGUAAAAUAUAUUUAUUUGGGGUUUGAA
Molecule: non-coding RNA, 141 nt
Organism: Chelonoidis abingdonii (Abingdon island giant tortoise)
Lineage: Eukaryota; Metazoa; Chordata; Testudines; Testudinidae
Source: RefSeq, a predicted model, not a curated record